UCGGGUUGUAAAGCACUUUUGUCCGGAAAGAAAACCUCUGGGUGAAUACCCCGGGGGGAUGACGGUACCGGAAGAAUAAGCACCGGCUAACUACGUGCCAGCAGCGCGGUAAUCGUAGGGUGCGAGCGUUAAUCGGAAUUACUGGGCGUAAAGCGUGCGCAGGCGGUGAUGUAAGACCGAUGUGAAAUCCCCGGGUUUAACCUGGGAACUGCAUUGGUGACUGCAUCGCCCGAGUAUGGCAGAGGGGGGUAGAAUUCCACGUGUAGCAGUGAAAUGCGUAGAGAUGUGGAGGAAUACCGAUGGCGAAGGCAGCCCCCUGGGUCAAUACUGACGCUCAUGCACGAAAGCGUGGGGAGCAAACAGGAUUAGAUACCCUGGUAGUCCACGCCCUAAACGAUGUCAACUGGUUGUCGGGCCUUCAUUGGCUUGGUAACGUAGCUAACGCGUGAAGUUGACCGCCUGGGGAGUACGGUCGCAAGAUUAAAACUCAAAGGAAUUGACGGGGACCCGCACAAGCGGUGGAUGAAUGUGGAUUAAUUCGAUGCAACGCGAAAAACCUUACCUACCCUUGACAUGUAUGGAAUCCUGCCG
Molecule: ribosomal RNA, 591 nt
Filed under: uncultured Burkholderia sp.
Lineage: Bacteria; Pseudomonadati; Pseudomonadota; Betaproteobacteria; Burkholderiales; Burkholderiaceae
Description: bacterial SSU rRNA
Rfam family: Bacterial small subunit ribosomal RNA
Source: RNAcentral